AAAUUGAAGAGUUUGAUCAUGGCUCAGAUUGAACGCUGGCGGCAGGCCUAACACAUGCAAGUCGAACGGUAACAGGAAGCAGCUUGCUGCUUUGCUGACGAGUGGCGGACGGGUGAGUAAUGUCUGGGAAACUGCCCGAUGGAGGGGGAUAACUACUGGAAACGGUAGCUAAUACCGCAUAACGUCGCAAGACCAAAGAGGGGGACC
Molecule: ribosomal RNA, 207 nt
Filed under: Citrobacter amalonaticus
Lineage: Bacteria; Pseudomonadati; Pseudomonadota; Gammaproteobacteria; Enterobacterales; Enterobacteriaceae
Description: partial 16S ribosomal RNA
Rfam family: Bacterial small subunit ribosomal RNA
Source: RNAcentral